GAAUGUGAGGCUGACCUAGCUGAAACCCCUGAUCACUAGGGUUGAUCUGGUUGAUCUGGCUGGCUAGACAGGUGCCCCCCACCCCCUCCCCCCCGCUCACACUCUCCGUUUGUGUGCUCUCUGAAGCUGUGCACUUGGCAGAAGAGGACUACCUCCCCAGAUUGAGAACGUUCUUCAGUCAAGGUACAUGAGUAUUGUAGGUUGGAGGUUCCCAAGUUAGAACCUCCCAACAAACUCUCAAAAUGGGCUUAAACUAACAUUGGUUUCCAAAAAGAAAACAAAGCAAAAUACAAGAAAUGCCUUU
This 304-nucleotide small nuclear RNA is filed under the name Tupaia belangeri chinensis (Chinese tree shrew). RNAcentral's name for it is "Tupaia chinensis (Chinese tree shrew) 7SK RNA". It matches the Rfam family "7SK RNA". Rfam says of the family: 7SK was discovered as an abundant small nuclear RNA in the mid-70s but a possible function has only recently been suggested. Lineage: Eukaryota; Metazoa; Chordata; Mammalia; Scandentia; Tupaiidae. The record is from Rfam by way of RNAcentral.